This 431-nucleotide long non-coding RNA is filed under the name Heterocephalus glaber (naked mole-rat). RNAcentral describes it as "lncRNA (ENSHGLG00100042035.1)". Lineage: Eukaryota; Metazoa; Chordata; Mammalia; Rodentia; Bathyergidae. The record is from RNAcentral.
CUACCGGCCAGUCGCCCUCUCCUGGGUGAAAUCUGAACCUGGAUAACUCACCAUUUACUGUGGUCUGCUGCAUCCACUGCUCUGUCCUACUGAAACGUUCUCUGGACUUCGCUGUGCAGGAUGUGUCUAUUCCAAUGGGACUACAAGUUCCUUGAUUAAAAAGCAAGACUCGCAAGUCGUCGUGCAGAUUCCUCCCAAAAAAGAAGAAAAUAAGGAAAUUUACUGCUUAAGGCUAUCAGCGAGGCAGAUUCUGACUGCAAGUCUUCAAGUCCAUCCUGCAAGGUGCCAGGCUCCCUCCAGCCUGUGGCCUCGAAGCCCCUCCCCCAUGUGACGCUCUCCCAACUGCCCAUGCCGCACUUCUCGUGACCGCGGAGUCAUCACCGUCGGGAGGCUGCAUCCCAGUGCCUUCUUCAUCCUCACCCCAAGCCGAG